Molecule: ribosomal RNA, 1742 nt
Filed under: Campylobacter jejuni
Lineage: Bacteria; Pseudomonadati; Campylobacterota; Epsilonproteobacteria; Campylobacterales; Campylobacteraceae
Description: partial 23S ribosomal RNA
Rfam family: Bacterial large subunit ribosomal RNA
Source: RNAcentral
AGGUAAGCUACUAAGAGCGAAUGGUGGAUGCCUUGACUGGUAAAGGCGAUGAAGGACGUACUAGACUGCGAUAAGCUACGGGGAGCUGUCAAGAAGCUUUGAUCCGUAGAUUUCCGAAUGGGGCAACCCAAUGUAUAGAGAUAUACAUUACCUAUAUAGGAGCGAACGAGGGGAAUUGAAACAUCUUAGUACCCUCAGGAAAAGAAAUCAAUAGAGAUUGCGUCAGUAGCGGCGAGCGAAAGCGCAAGAGGGCAAACCCAGUGCUUGCACUGGGGGUUGUAGGACUGCAAUGUGCAAGAGGUAAGUUUAGCAGAACAUUCUGGAAAGUAUAACCAUAGAGGGUGAUAGUCCCGUAUGCGAAAAACAAACCUUAGCUAGCAGUAUCCUGAGUAGGGCGGGACACGAGGAAUCCUGUCUGAAUCCGGGUCGACCACGAUCCAACCCUAAAUACUAAUACCAGAUCGAUAGUGCACAAGUACCGUGAGGGAAAGGUGAAAAGAACUGAGGUGAUCAGAGUGAAAUAGAACCUGAAACCAUUUGCUUACAAUCAUUCAGAGCCCUAUGUAGCAAUACAGGGUGAUGGACUGCCUUUUGCAUAAUGAGCCUGCGAGUUGUGGUGUCUGGCAAGGUUAAGCAAACGCGAAGCCGUAGCGAAAGCGAGUCUGAAUAGGGCGCUUAGUCAGAUGCUGCAGACCCGAAACGAAGUGAUCUAUCCAUGAGCAAGUUGAAGCUAGUGUAAGAACUAGUGGAGGACUGAACCCAUAGGCGUUGAAAAGCCCCGGGAUGACUUGUGGAUAGGGGUGAAAGGCCAAUCAAACUUCGUGAUAGCUGGUUCUCUCCGAAAUAUAUUUAGGUAUAGCGUUGUGUCGUAAUAUAAGGGGGUAGAGCACUGAAUGGGCUAGGGCAUACACCAAUGUACCAAACCCUAUCAAACUCCGAAUACCUUAUAUGUAAUCACAGCAGUCAGGCGGCGAGUGAUAAAAUCCGUCGUCAAGAGGGAAACAACCCAGACUACCAGCUAAGGUCCCUAAAUCUUACUUAAGUGGAAAACGAUGUGAAGUUACUUAAACAACCAGGAGGUUGGCUUAGAAGCAGCCAUCCUUUAAAGAAAGCGUAAUAGCUCACUGGUCUAGUGAUUUUGCGCGGAAAAUAUAACGGGGCUAAAGUAAGUACCGAAGCUGUAGACUUAGUUUACUAAGUGGUAGGAGAGCGUUCUAUUUGCGUCGAAGGUAUACCGGUAAGGAGUGCUGGAGCGAAUAGAAGUGAGCAUGCAGGCAUGAGUAGCGAUAAUUAAUGUGAGAAUCAUUAACGCCGUAAACCCAAGGUUUCCUACGCGAUGCUCGUCAUCGUAGGGUUAGUCGGGUCCUAAGUCGAGUCCGAAAGGGGUAGACGAUGGCAAAUUGGUUAAUAUUCCAAUACCAACAUUAGUGUGCGAUGGAAGGACGCUUAGGGCUAAGGGGGCUAGCGGAUGGAAGUGCUAGUCUAAGGUCGUAGGAGGUUGUACAGGCAAAUCCGUAUAACAAUACUCCGAGAACUGAAAGGCUUUUUGAAGUCUUCGGAUGGAUAGAAGAACCCCUGAUGCCGUCGAGCCAAGAAAAGUUUCUAAGUUUAGCUAAUGUUGCCCGUACCGUAAACCGACACAGGUGGGUGGGAUGAGUAUUCUAAGGCGCGUGGAAGAACUCUCUUUAAGGAACUCUGCAAAAUAGCACCGUAUCUUCGGUAUAAGGUGUGGUUAGCUUUGU